CGUUGUCGGUGCGACUGGCGACGAGAAUGGAACACCAUCGGGGAGCAUCGAUUUUUUUAGCCGCGCGCCCGGAUACCCGAU
RNAcentral lists this non-coding RNA (81 nucleotides) under Pararhizobium polonicum. RNAcentral's name for it is "ZTP sequence". It matches the Rfam family "ZMP/ZTP riboswitch aptamer (pfl RNA motif)". Rfam says of the family: Previously known as pfl RNA. ZMP is also known as AICAR. The record is from Rfam by way of RNAcentral. Lineage: Bacteria; Pseudomonadati; Pseudomonadota; Alphaproteobacteria; Hyphomicrobiales; Rhizobiaceae.